AGAGGUGAAGCUGCAAGCAUCGGUUGCCUCCUGCUGACAGGUCCCUGGGCACCCCAUGAAGGGAGAGCGUGACAUGGUCCUGCUUUUCCUGGCAGCACUGGUGGGACUGGCAGACUUUGGUCAUGCCCAAAAGGACUCUGUGCUGCAGUUUCCAGCAGAAAUGACCAUCCAGGCAGGGGAGAGCACAGCUCUGCACUGCAAUUUCUCCAGCAGCCAUGCCAAUCCCUCCAUCUACUGGUACCAGCAGCGCCAGUCCCAGUCCCCUCAGAGGCUGCUGUGGGUGAACAAGUACAGAGCUCGUAUAGAUUCAGGGAGAUUCUCCUCUGAACUGACUGCGGAGACCUCCCAGGUGCUUCUGAAUGUGCGGGAUGCCGAGCUCCAGGACAGCGCUGCCUAUUUCUGUGCACUGAGCCCACACUGGUGCCCACAGCUUGCAGCACUGCACAGAAAGGUGGGGGGGUGCUCUGAGGAGCAGUUCCCUCCCUGCCACUGCUUGCAUGUAGCUCUGAGCUCAGCCUGCCCAGCAGCAGCACCUGGGAACUGUGGUGAGGCUGGGCUUCUGCCUCCCCAGCCUGUGCUGCUGUGA
Molecule: non-coding RNA, 586 nt
Organism: Harpia harpyja (harpy eagle)
Lineage: Eukaryota; Metazoa; Chordata; Aves; Accipitriformes; Accipitridae
Source: the annotation of a RefSeq genome assembly